This 585-nucleotide unclassified non-coding RNA is filed under the name Eimeria meleagridis. RNAcentral describes it as "sequence contains 18S rRNA gene, ITS1 and 5.8S rRNA gene". The stretch from base 1 to 50 matches the Rfam family "Eukaryotic small subunit ribosomal RNA", at positions 1782 to 1831 of the family's 1831-position model. The record is from RNAcentral. Lineage: Eukaryota; Apicomplexa; Conoidasida; Eucoccidiorida; Eimeriidae.
GCAAAAGUCGUAACACGGUUUCCGUAGGUGAACCUGCGGAAGGAUCAUUCACACGUGAAGCAUGAAAGCAGAAAAAGGAAGCUUUUGAUCGUUUCUCCCUUGCUUGCACACGCUGCUGCUUUCGAGCAGCCAGCCAAUUUGCAUGCAUGCAGGUGGGGGGGUGAUCAUGUGGGCGUCUCUUUGACUGCUGUUCAGGCUCAUCUAAUGGAUUGAACAUGCCCUAUAACAACUUGUAAAUCUGUUUUUUUUCUCACAACGAGUUUUCUUUUAGAUAUGUGUAAAUAUAUCGGAAGGAGAAGAAACAGACUGCUGUACAGAACUGUGUGGCCCGCUGUAUGAAUGUGGUUGUAGGUAGGUAUGUUGGGUCGCUCACGCCUCUCGCUCUUCGCAUGCAUCAUUAAUCUGUACUACACCCUUUUAGGAAGGUGUGUGUUGAUUGGUGGAUGUAGCGGAGUAGCCUGUGGGGCUUUUUACUCCAACAGCCAUAUCACAUCACAAAUCAUAUAUUUUGGGCUGUUAUCAGUUUUUGCAGUUUUUUUCAUUCUGUUUACCAGAAUGUGUAGAUUCAAAGUUAAAAAACUUUCA